RNAcentral lists this ribosomal RNA (460 nucleotides) under uncultured bacterium. Its description in RNAcentral is "partial 16S ribosomal RNA". It matches the Rfam family "Bacterial small subunit ribosomal RNA", at positions 338 to 795 of the family's 1533-position model. The record is from RNAcentral.
CCUACGGGAGGCAGCAGUGAGGAAUAUUGGUCAAUGGCCGGAAGGCUGAACCAGCCAUGCCGCGUGAAGGUCAGUGCCCUAUGGGCGUUAAACUUCUUUUGUGCGGGAGCAAUAAUGGUCACGUGUGGCCAGACGAGAGUACCGUACGAAUAAGCAUCGGCUAACUCCGUGCCAGCAGCCGCGGUAAUACGGGGGAUGCAAGCGUUAUCCGGAUUUAUUGGGUUUUAAGGGUGCGUAGGCUGUGAGGUAAGUCAGCGGUGAAAUGCCCCCGCUCAACGGGGUGAAGUGCCAUUGAUACUGCCUGGCUGGAAUGCGGAUGCCGUGGGAGGAAUGUGUGGUGUAGCGGUGAAAUGCAUAGAUAUCACACAGAACACCGAUUGCGAAGGCAUCUCACGAAUCCGCGAUUGACGCUGAUGCACGAAAGCGUGGGUAUCAAACAGGAUUAGAUACCCUUGUAGUC